UACGUAGGGGGCAAGCGUUGUCCGGAAUCAUUGGGCGUAAAGCGCGUGUAGGCGGCCCGGUAAGUCCGCUGUGAAAGUCCAGGGCUCAACCCUGGGAUGCCGGUGGAUACUGUCGGGCUCGAGUCCGGAAGAGGAGUGUGGAAUUCCUGGUGUAGCGGUGAAAUGCGCAGAUAUCAGGAGGAACACCAAUGGCGAAGGCAGCUCUCUGGGACGGUACUGACGCUGAGACGCGAAAGCGUGGGGAGCGAACAGG
Molecule: ribosomal RNA, 253 nt
Filed under: uncultured bacterium
Lineage: Bacteria
Description: partial 16S ribosomal RNA
Rfam family: Bacterial small subunit ribosomal RNA
Source: RNAcentral